GAUGAACGCUGGCGGCGUGCUUAACACAUGCAAGUCGAACGGUGAAGGCGGAGCUUGCUCUGCUGGAUCAGUGGCGAACGGGUGAGUAACACGUGAGCAAUCUGCCCCUGACUCUGGGAUAAGCGCUGGAAACGGCGUCUAAUACUGGAUACGAGCUGCGAAGGCAUCUUCAGCAGCUGGAAAGAAUUUCGGUCAGGGAUGAGCUCGCGGCCUAUCAGCUUGUUGGUGAGGUAAUGGCUCACUAAGGCGUCGACGGGUAGCCGGCCUGAGAGGGUGACCGGCCACACUGGGACUGAGACACGGCCCAGACUCCUACGGGAGGCAGCAGUGGGGAAUAUUGCACAAUGGGCGAAAGCCUGAUGCAGCAACGCCGCGUGAGGGACGACGGCCUUCGGGUUGUAAACCUCUUUUAGCAGGGAAGAAGCGAAAGUGACGGUACCUGCAGAAAAAGCGCCGGCUAACUACGUG
This 468-nucleotide ribosomal RNA is filed under the name uncultured bacterium. RNAcentral describes it as "partial 16S ribosomal RNA". It matches the Rfam family "Bacterial small subunit ribosomal RNA", at positions 28 to 507 of the family's 1533-position model. The record is from RNAcentral.